RNAcentral lists this ribosomal RNA (255 nucleotides) under uncultured bacterium. Its description in RNAcentral is "partial 16S ribosomal RNA". It matches the Rfam family "Bacterial small subunit ribosomal RNA", at positions 524 to 776 of the family's 1533-position model. The record is from RNAcentral.
UACGUAGGGGGCAAGCGUUGUCCGGAUUUAUUGGGCGUAAAGAGCGUGUAGGCGGCCGUACAGGUCAGCUGUGAAACUCGAGGCUCAACCUCGAGACGUCGGUUGAAACCGUACGGCUAGAGUCCGGAAGAGGAGAGUGGAAUUCCUGGUGUAGCGGUGAAAUGCGCAGAUAUCAGGAGGAACGACCGGUGGCGAAGGCGGGUCUCUGGGCCGUAACUGACGCUGGAGGAGCGGAAAGCAUGGGGAGCGAACAGG